UAUAUAUAUAUCCAUGGUAUAAACAUGCAUACCUAACCAAUAUACCGUAUGCCAGGCUAUGAGCGAGUCAACUUAUUGUAGAUGUGUGAACUAAGUCAAUUAAGUGUAACUUUAUAAUUGUUGAUUAUAAUGUGGUACUUGGUUAAUGAACAAGGUGUCCGCAUAUAUUUAAAACCAAAUCAAGAGACGUUAAUCGGCAGGAAGAAAGCUGACAUUGUUUUGCCAAAUGAUAAAUCAAUCAGCAAGGAACAUGCCUCAAUUAGCGUUACAAAAUUAGAGGAGAUAAGGAGUACUGAACCAACAUCUAUAUGUAAACUAAAAGACUUAAAGUCAAAAUAUGGUACUUUUAUCCUUCAUGAACGUGACAUAAUACAACUAACUGAAACUGAAUGUAUUUUAAAACAUCAAGAUACAAUAAGAUUUGGUUUACAGAACCAUGUAUUUAAGGUGAUAAAUGUGCCUAUAAUAACAACAGUAUCUACUUUAUGUGAUAACGAAAUAGAAAGAUUAAAACAAUUGAUGGAAGAAAUUGAUGGUGUAAUAAUUACUGACAGCGAUUGGAGAAGGGCAUCCACUUAUUUAACAGUAGGAAAUGCUAUCUUAACACUAAAGCUUGCCUCUGCUAUGGCUUCUGCUCUACCAAUAGUGACAAUGAAAUAUUGGGACGAAGUUAAAUCUGCAAUAGAUAAUGGUCAACAACUCCCAGAUUCAAAUAAUUUUGUUCCACCAAUUAGUGAACCAUUAAUCGCUAAAAAAAAGGUAUUGAUUUCUCCAAACAAGAAAAGAACAACGUUAUUUGAAAAUUUAACAUUUAUACAUUUUAGUACAACUCAAUAUAGGAAAUAUAAAAAAAUCAUUAGAAUAGCAGGUGGAAUACCACAAUUAUUUGAAAGAGCAAGCCUAACAACUACAGAAUUUUGUAGCCCAAACGUGAUUGUAUUACAAUAUUCAGACAAUGAUUCAACACAGAUCACGGAAAAUAUUUUCUGUACAUAUCAUUCAAUACAACAAGCAUUGAAAGCAAAUAAUUAUAGAAUGAUAGCUGAAGUUGAAAUUUGUCUUGCAAUAUUGCAUUGUUCGACAGAAAAAUAUUGCAAUCCUAUGUAUAAAUUCGCAAAGCUUUUAAAAAGAUCGGAACGAAAGAAUGAUUCAUGUGAGAUUUUAAAUCUUGAUACACAAGAUGAAACAGCCAAAGUGUCAGCAUUACCAACUUCUUCGUUUUCGAUAUCGACACCCGUAAAACACCGUAUUAUUCCUGAAACAUUGGAUAUCAGUCAAGAACCAUUACCAAAUGUAAGUGGUGUUGUCAUACAACCUACAGAAGAGCAAAAAUAUAAUAAAAUACAAUGCAUAAGAAAAACUCCUAAUGAUACUUCAGCAACAGAGAAUGUACAAGUUACACGAUCAAGAGUAAUUUCCAACGUUUCGGCAACGACAUCGGUGAAAAUAAGACAACGUGUUAUUCCUGAAACAUUGAGUAGCAUCAGUAGUCAAGAAUCACAAUCAGAUGUACAUUAUAUUUUCACACAACCAACAGGAACACAAAGAUAUAAUGAAAUACAGUGCAUAAAAGAAACUCCUACUGAUACUUCAGCAACAGUGAAAAAUGUGCAAGUUACACAACCAAAAGAAAUUUCCAACCUUUCGAAAACAACAUUCGUGAAAGUAAGACAAUGUGUUAUUCCUGAAACACUGAGCAGCAUUAGUAGCCAAGAAUUACAAUCAAAUUCAAAUUUUGCUGAUACACAACCUACAAGAAAGCAAAAAUGUAAUAAAUUACAAUACAUAGACGAAACUCCUAAUGAUGCUUCAGCAACAGAGGCAAGUAUGCAAGAUAUACGAUCUAAUGAAAACAAUUCGACUUUUCCUAAUAUGUUCUCACAAAUCAUUCGAUAUUCUAACCAUGAUAACCAGAAUUUACACAAACACGGUAAUAUACAGGAUAAGAGACAAUCAAAGGAAGUAAUAAUCUUAAGUGAUGAUGAAAUUGAACUAAAACCAGUACAGCAAAAUAAAAAUAAUAACACGAAUUCUAAUAAAGAUUUCAUACAUAAUACAUUGAAUAAUAUAUUUAAAACAAGUAAUUCAAGAGAUGAAAAUAGGCAAAUGCAACAAACAGCUCGAUUAACUGAUAAUCGUAUAGCUGCCGCAAAUUUAAAAGAAAUGUGUGAAGUCGAUAAAAAAAUAGAAUUAAAAAAUGUGCGCCCUGUAACACUAGAAGUAGAGAAAAAGCAUAAUAAAGAAACGACAUGUUCAGAAAAUUCAAUUACACCACAUACAACAGAACCACUAAAUACACCUGAAGAUUCUCUUAUAUGUUCUGUGGAAACAGAAAAAAGGAAACAUAAAGCACAAAAUGUUAUAAGUUCCGCACUAAAAAGUAAUUCAUCACUUCGAGCUCAUCUUAAUUUCAAAGUGUUCAAAAAGAUUCCUGCUAUAGUUCCUCAGAAAAGGAUAAAAAUCGAUAAUAUAUUGAUGGCGUCUUGGAGAAACGUUAGUUUUACGCGGGAAGUCCAGCGAAACGGAACAUCAGAUCCCAUUAGGGAACAUUCGUGGCCGUGUGUAAUGUGAUCAGCAGAGUCAGUGUUUGCUACGUAAAGUUAUCUCCAAUAUUUUUGAGAUUAAGACAGUUCUUAGUGAUCAUAAAUUGAAUCAGAAUUCAUACGCGAAUUUAAACGCCAGUGUUUGUCCGUCGCUUGUAAUUUAAACGAGCACGUUAAUAGUCUUUUAUCUUUUUUAUACACACACACACACGCGCGCGCGCGCGCACACACACACACACACACACACACAGAUAUAUUCUUCUUUUUAAAUACUCUUUUCCGGUAUUAGAAUCAGCCCUCCCCUCAAAAGGAUCCAACCUCUUUAAAAACCAAGAAAAGUAAGUAUCUUUAUAUAUUAUAUACCACUUUGUCUUAUUCAUAGCUUAAACUGCUGUUAAUCAUGAAGGCAAUUUAGUGAAGUUCCAAAUUUUUAUUCUUUAUUGAAAUAAAAUCAGAUUUUAGAUUGAACAUUUAUUCUUACUAAAGUUCUAAAUGUAAUAAAGUUCCAUCUUUCUUUUGUUAAAGAUUUUUUACAACUACCAUUUUAAUUAUGCAGGUCGGUGCCUUCGUAUGUUUCCCGGGCAAAGAUAAUACUAAUAACAAUAUUCUUCGCACCUAGUGCGAGCAUGGCCUGCCUCCAUCUAUGCGUGUGCACAGUGGAUCCGUUCGCUGGUCGGAUGCAAUUACGGAUCGGGGCCGGACCGAGAAAAACGCCCAGUGCAUCGCUUGCCAAUUACUGGAAGGAAAGGCAAGGGAGUCUCCAAUUUGCUACUAACUUCUCUCAACGAAGGGCGGAAGCGGCACGGAAGGGUGUGGCACCCAGUUACCGAACGCGAAUUGCACGGAAGCCUUUGCGAAUGUGAACUGAGUGCAACAGUAUUUAUUAAUCUCUCAAAUGAUCACUCUUGAAGAAAUUAAUUGUGCAAAUUGAAGUAAAUCAAUUUGAGCGCGAUAAUAAUGAUCCACAAUGUGUUGAAUUAAAAGUACGUACAUAAUACGUAGAUUAGGGAUUUAAUUUAUAUUUAACAUACGAAAUGCUCGGUUGAACGCAUUUUUUACUUAAAUUAUGCGAAACAUUGCCGGGAGAAACACAAUGUAACAUUUUGACGUGUAACACGAACGUUGAUAACGUUCUGUUACAAUGGAAAAUAACAAGCUUUCUUUAUCGCGUAUUUCACGGUAGAAAAUGUGAUCGAUUGGCGUACGUGAUGGUGAAACUGAUACUAAAGAUAGGCACGCAAAGUACAAAUGUCAGAGUAAAUCAAUAAUAUAAAGGAACGUUGCUGCGAAACACAGAGCAAGUACUAUAAUAAAUACACUAGAUCAGAAGAAUUCUAAAAUUAAACAGAACAACGUAUAAAUACUACACUUUGACUGGAAUAUUAAACCUACUACGAAAAUGCUAUAUCAAAAAUACAUCCAAUGUUAAAAAUAGAAUUCAAUAAUGUUACAAAUAACCACUAAUGUAUACAACAAUAUGUAAACGAAAGAACUGUUUGGCCAACUUAAAAUAAAUUCACUGAAGAAGGUUGCAAAUUUUGAUCUGUCGUUGUUCUUUGAUGGAUCAAUCCUCAAUGAUAUUUUUAAUCGAUAGAACGAUCAUCUGAUCAUAUCGACUAAAUGUUAACAUAUUUCGCAUUGAUUACACAAAGAUACAUCUGUUUCGUAUGAUCGCUUAAUCGUUCAUAUAAAAGUACGUCGUCCUUCUACUUGUCUAUAACGUAUUAUUUCCUGCUUCUCCUAUCAAGUACCUCAUCGAUUAUAGCAAUGUUUUAAAAGGAUAAUCGUAAAUCUAAAUACAACAAUUUUGUACAAGGUGGAUAUACUUUAAGGUAAUCAACGGUGAAACGAUAUUACGAAAAAAAGGUAUUUUUACGUGACCAGCAGGAGAUGUGUUAAUAAGCAAAUCAGCUCGUUUCGUAAACGAGAAUAAGGUGGACGACGUAUCGUUCGAGCGAUACGAUGGCAUACAGAUCAUUCGUUUCGAGGACGCGGAGUCGGAAUGAAAGAACGUGGGUGCGAGACACGAGCGAGCUGUGUCGAGCAGGUAAUCGAAAAUGCGAUGCGAGUGCCACGCCGGCGGUCUUUGUCGGCAAGCCUGCACGAGCAAAUGCAAAAGGCAUGAAUGCAGUUGAAACGGCACGAGCCGGCACGAAAGGCGUACGGUAGAGAACGACGUCUGCUGACGCAGACCGAGGCUUCCUCUUUGGCCAGACUUCCUGUCAGAAAUGAUCGUCGCGAUUCGCGCGAGCCAACCGUUCAUUCCGACCUUAUGAUUACAUUCUCGAUCAGCUCCAGUGAUCAAAUAAUGCCACUCACUUGUCAUCAUUUUCUUUUCUAUUCGUACAAUUGUCCUUUAAUGUCGUCGCACCCUGAUAGAAUAACGUUGCGUGUCUUAAUAUUGUUUCUAGUGUAGGUAAUAUUAUUACUUUACUAUUUUUACAAUAUUAUAAUAGAGAUUUAUAAUAUAAAUAGAGAUUUGAUUUAUCCUCUAAACGUUCCAACGAGCAUUUUAUUUUGUACAUUUUUACGAAUUAGAUACGUUAACUACAUUUUUUAUAAUUUCCAUUAAUUCAUAAAUACGCGCAGUCUAUUAAUAAUUAAACACACGAUUUGAGUAUUACGAAAUAUUAGUUGUCUAAAGUCACAAAUGACAACUUUUAAAAUAACAUUCUUUAUAUUCUGAUUAUAAGUGCCACUUUUACAGGUGUAUAUUGAAUCAACUUAAAUAAUAUAUUGAAUCCCAUAACUUUCAUUAAAUUGUAUACGUAUUUUACACCGUACAGUCAGAGAACCCAAAAUAAGGCGUAGUAACAAGCGCAUCAUGAAUGAAACCCGUGGAAUGUCAUUGAGAAACAGCAUGAACGCAACACGAUGACAUUAGUAUAUGCCAACGCAUUAUCUGCUUACUUCGUUACGUUACGUUCCUUUUCGACAAAAUCGCAAAACGGAACUCAGCCGAAUAUAUAUAGAACCGGUAUUAAUUUUAUGCAAAUACUUGCGAGUUUCGAAAAUUCAUUUUCUCAAUAAACUCGUUUGAUUCGCUCGAUCAAGUACAAUAAAGAUUUAUACGAGUUAAGAGACUUUUCCUUCGAACCUUGGUAUUCUGCUAAUUCGAUGUGAUGCACGAAUCAUCGUAGGUGGUCGAAGAUGGAGGUGUGGGAGUUCGUUUCACGAUGCCGAAAAUCGCGACAUCUUCGACACCGCAUCGACAUCCGGAGGAAGGCGCCUCGGUUGCGCAUAUUAAUUAUGCUACUUAUCGAUGCUAAUUAAUUCUUCUAAUUAACUAGGCGACGCAGUAACGCGCCGUUAACGCCUUUCAUUUAUAUAUCAUAUGGCACAUAGACAACUUUUACAUAUUUCUUUGCGUCAUACUGGCCUCCGAUAUCAAAAAGCUUUGCUUCGAUUAUUAUGCAAAUCGAUCAACGCGUUUCACCGAUCGUUUAUGCGCAUUUAUGGAUCACUCGAUACACAAAAAGGAAAUAAGAACGUCACAAGUGAGAAAAGUCUUUUCGUUUUUUACAUUUUCACUUGUUAACCAGGGAGAACGAGUUAACUCGUUACUCGGAUUUCCAAUCUCUUGAAUAUAACAAUUUCUUUAUUUAUACAUGGAUCUAUUAGUUUUUAAUAUGUAGCAUAGUGUGUCAUACAGUGAAUAAAAAUCGAAAUAAUCAUUGUUCGAUUUUGGUCUUAUUAUUCGAUGAUAUCAUCAGUCUGUAAAUAGCAUAAAUGUAAACAAUAAUUCCCCCUAAAAUCGAUAGAGGAUUAGUAAACAUCGCUUGUACAUUAAAAUUUAAUCGCAUGAAAAUUAGCUCACUCACUCAAUUAUAUAUUCUUGUUUUCCAAUUCUUGUUAAAUAGCGUUUGUUACAUCUUAAAUAUAAAGAAUUUGAGCAAAGAUAUGUACAAUGUUAAUUUCUAAUUUAAAAAUUCCUUUCUUUUUUUAAAGAACGAUCUUAAAAGAAAAGGAUCCAAAUUAUCCUAUAAUUUUAAUUGUUCUGUGUCAAGAAGAUAUUGUAUCACAUUGCUAUAUAACUUUUUUCUGCUACAAACUAUUACAUUGGAUGUUGUUUACUUUUCUAGCAAAAUGCAUUCGCAAUCGCGACUUGGUCGAGGAGUGUAAUUCUGAUUAUAUUUAUUCCAAACAAAUUUUUUAAGUUAUGGAAACUCCCUGUCCUUUGCUAAGUGUCAACACAAUAUCUUAUGGAAUAAAAGGGGGGAUAAAUGACUUGUGCAUGAUCCUUACGAAAUAAUAGAAAGAUCGUCCUUGGUAUCAACACUAUUUGCUUGAACGUCACCGCGUGUGGUUGGCCAAGGAAAUAAAUAUUCAACUGAGCCAAAGGGUAACGAAAAUAUUAACAAAAAUUUACUCGUGUCACAUGCUUUGAUAUCAAGUUUCUAUAAAACUGUAUAUUCGAAUUAUACGCAUUUGUUGAUUUUUGUCCCGAAUCCUCAUUCAAAUGCCGCACUGUGGAACGUGGAAACGUGGUCUGCAAACCUGCGAACGUCGUCUGCGAACGUGGACUGCGAACCUGCGAACGUGGACUGCGAACGUGCGACCGUGGCAAACGUGGUCUACGACCACCAGCGAAUUUUGAUUUUUAUUCCGAAUUCUCAUUCAACCGCCGUACUGUGCGUGUCAUUUCCAUUAAAAAUAAACCAUAUCGUACUUAUAUUUGCAAAAGUUAAGAUUGACCCAAUUAGAAUGUCAUCGUUAGUUACUAAUUCUGAAAUUAUAAAUAUUCUUGGCUAAGAGACCAGGACAACAGAUUAAACAGGUCAAAUAGACGGAUUAACAGAUUAAUAAAUAUAAUACUAAAAAAAAAAAAAACGGAAUCCCAUUUAUUAAUACAUUCAAAUCAUUUUCUCUUAUCAGAACUCGCGAGAUAUAUGAAUUUCUACUGAUAAGUUGACGAAAUACGCGUAACGCGUUUCCGUGACGUAGCGUUACGUCACUGGGAAACCCGGAAAGGAUAGGGCGGUAUUCUUCCGACGAAUAUUUCCGACAGUAUCCCUUUGGCGCAAAAACCAGAAAGGAGAUCCGGUAGGCUGGUUGUUUCGUCGAAGGACAAGAUUUUUGCGUCGGCGUGCGCUGCCGUUAAAACGACAAAUUAUCCAUCUUGUAGUACAAGGUUCCUCCACCUAACCGAUAGAGUAAAGAUUUCUGAAGCAGGGAGGAGGGCAGAUCCAUCCCUUCCAACGUUCUGCGGAUUCUUCCCGGACAGAUUUGGUGGGAGAGAUGGCUGUCGAGUGGGAAACCCGGAGUGGCGAACCAUCGGAGGGGAAGUGGAUUGACUUACGAGAGAUUCUUGCACAAGUGCUCGCAAUGCAACGGCGAGAACCUCCCGCAAAAGGAUUUACGACAUUACUUUCAUUCUUCCUCUAGAGAUUUUGUCCGGGCCGAUUUCUAAGGGCUCGUGUGCUUCUCACCGUCAAUGACUACCUGUUUCCAUUUCUGACAAGAUUUAAUUAACGUGCUACGAGGCUCCGAUUCCUUAGACACCGUUUUAAUACCGACGCUUGUUGCUUAGAAUGACACGUUGAAAUCGAUAUGUGUGAUACGAUUGUAGUGGAAAAGUUUAGAACCUGAUUUGGGUUGGGUUUGGGUUAUCGAGACGUAGCAUUGUUUAUUUAAAUUAUAUAUCUUCUACUUCUUUCCAACGAUUUCAUUUCGUUCUUCAAAUUAUCCUCGAAUAUAUGGUGUGAUAAAUAGUAAAAAUGUUCUAAUUUAACCAGGCUUUCUUGUUACCUCUUAUCGGUAGUUUUAAAGUAUUUUCAAAUAAUAAGAUAUGACGAGUAGUGAAAUUAGUUUAGUCUUUUAAAGCAAGUAAAAGUAUUCGUAGCUCUGUCCGUUACAUUUUAUCUUCUAAUUUUUCACGUUAUAUGGUAGUCGGUGUUUUAAUAGAAAUGUAAAGUAAUCUGAGUAAAAGCAAUCACAACUACCAUAAAAUGAACAGGAUUGAUGAUUCAUUAAUCAAUCAAUGUUGAGGUAAAGUCUCGAUCAAAACUUGUGCCAGAGAAGUUAACUCAAACUUCAAUUUGCUUUUAAAAUUGCAACAUUUCGAAUCGUAAUAGCGUGGUACCAAAAUGGCGCACGCAGUGGCACUCCGCUAAAAAUUACCGGAUACGGAUUCUUUUAAAACUUAUAAUUAUAGUCCUAUGGUGAAAUGAAGUAUUAACAUAUCACGGAAAUAUUCGAUCUCGUACGUUGAUCACGUUAUAUGGAAGAAUUCGAUGUUUAGACAUCUGAGAACUUGAGCAACAUUGAGGCUGAGACAGACUCACUACCGACAGGGUCGAUGUCCGGCGAAGGCCGCUAACGACGCCUAAUCUUUUCCAAGAAGUUGUCACAACUCGCCGCUCUUCUGGUAUCGAGCCACGUUCAGGAUCAGCUUAAGCUUCUCGAUGUACUGUACUUGGAGUAACUUAUAACUUAUCCAAUGAACAAACAGCAGCGAUUAACGUAACUUUCAAAUGCUAUUAAUAUAUCGAUUUCGUUCUUUUUUUUCGGAAAAAAUAUAAAAAUUGGCGGGAAUAAGAACUUAGAGCGUUGUUUCAUUUCAACAAUUUAAUGGUACUUUCUUUUUAGAGAAAGUGCGGCUGUUCUCUAAGAUGUGAGGUAUAUGGUAUAAUAAAGGGACAACAAUGCAUCUAUUACAUGUAUUGUAUAUUGUUUCUGAAUCGACAUAAUUCAGAUGAGAGUGAGUGAUUGGUAUUAUAUAAUUUUUGUCAAAUAGUUUGAAUAUUAAAGAACUGUCUUUACUAAUUCCAUCUGCUAAUUCAAAUUUUGUAACGAUAUUGUAUUCCAGAAUCUAAAAUGAAUUAUGAUACAUUAUAAUAACCUCUUAUAAUAUUAUUUUCAACUUUUAUUAAAGAAUUUAGCGCUUCAAGUCGAAUUAAAUUUUAUUUCAAAUACUACUCGAGUAGAUUUAGACUAUAUGUUACUCAUCAAGUAGUCGUUAGUAAAAUUUUGGAAAUUUCUAUAUUAAAGACGCGCUUUAAUCUAUAUAAAAUUAAUAUAAAACAUUAAUUACGAACGUUAACAAAUCCAUUUUUUCAUGUUACUAUUCUAAAUCAAAGUAGCCGAUUAAUAACAUCCUCACGGCAACUAAUGUCUUGUCAUUUCAUCCCUAAUCUAUUCUACAUGUGUAUAUCUAUUUACCUUUUUUACUCUUUGCAAUCCAUCAACUGAUUCGCCAUUUUGUCGCGAUGUUGUAAUAAUAAUGGCUACCUGUUAUACAUUUCCAGUAAGCUCGCUACUGAAAAAGUAUGGGCUGCACUUGGAAUCCUUGUGCUGAGAUUUCAUUUGCAUGAUACCGUCUUGGAACACGUCCAACGUGUAACAGAAUUCUGAUGCACAAUACAGAUUGAAGUGGUUAGGACAAUUUCAAAUCUGCCUUUCGAGCAUCCUGGUCCAGGUACUGAUCUGUUGGAGGCUGAUGGGGCGUGGCACCAGAAGAUGCGGGUUCUGCCAUUGGCUCGUACCUGUUAAACCAUUCACUGGUACAAUUGCUCUCUCUCUCUACUACACCGAUACUAUAACUUUAUCGAUCGCUUCACACUCAAAUUGAAAGGUCAAAUAGUGCUGCUGUUCCAACCAGUGGUGAUUUUUAUAUCUCUUCGAAAGUGUAAUUCUACAGUAAUUCAUCUCAAUUUGUUUGGAAUGAGACGAUAUAUAAGAUAUUCUUUUAGACUCUUAAUGCUACCAGACUAGUUUUUGUUCUUUAUCUGCCUUACUUAUCUGCAGUCGUGCAUAAAUACAGCAGAUAUAUAUCAAGAGAAAAAGUAGGCAAGUGUUUAUGUAUAUCUUCACCUGCAUCUUUUUAGUGCACGUUCAACUUUUGAAAGGAAUUCGUUCCACGUACGAGAAUGAAAUCGUGGAAGGCAUAGCCUGGUUCCGCGUAAAGUGUCGCCAAUUCCAGCAAAUCAUGAAAAUUCAUAGGUAUCGCUUUCACGGAACGAAUUACGAGACAGCCUGGCAGUUUUUCCACGAACCAGCUCAAGUGAAAGAAUCGAAGGCAAACCUGUUGUAAAAGAGUUGUAGUAAAUAUUAUUUAUUUAUCGAGUCACUGACGAUCGGUUGAUGGAACUUUAAAAGAUAGUGUGUAGGCUAAGAGGUAGAUUUUGUCAUCAAUAUCAACAAAUCCAUCGUCUUCCUCUAUAGUCUUGUCUUAUGGACUCCGGAACAUACAGAGUGUCCCAAGUUUAAGCGAUCGGGAAACAAGAAGAAGUUGCAUAAACACGUGUCUGUGACGCUUUAUUACGUUAAAAGAAGUUGACUUGUAUUUCCAUUUCAAAGUGCCGCCCUUCGUCUCGAACACAAGUUUGUCAUCAUAGGGAAAUUGAGUCUAUUACGCUUCGAAUUUCAUGUUUAUCUUGCUGUUGCAAUUGUGAACAAAUGCUGAUUUAUUCAAUGAAUGAACCAUUAAUCUUUUCUAUUGCUUCUUGUCGCGAAUUGAUUCUUGCACGAUGCACAAUCGCUUUCGCUAUUCCCCACUGAUAAAAGACUAACGAUGUAAGAUUUGAUGACCUCGUGAAACAAAUAAUGUGUUCUUCCCGAUCAAUUUUUCACGAUAAUGUUCUUCUAAUGCCUUUAGGUUUCGCAUUUCUGUUAUAACUUUUUUAUAAAACGUCAGCAGACUUAUGUUUAUAACAUAUUUUUUCUUAUCUCCACCUAUAGGACAUAUUGGAGACAUUUGAUCGUUUAAACUUCUGGGGCACGUUACAUAAUUGAAGCUUGACAAACAGCUUUUACGACUGAUAAUAAUGACAGUUGUUUAUUUGUGUAACCCCGUUGAGCAAUUAAAAGUGAUAAAUUACGUGAUACUGAUUAAACAAAUAACGAAAUUAUCGUCAAAUAGAUGUUUACACGAAUUGCUUCCUGUUUGCCCUCUUAAGCAUGCUAUAUCUAUUUAGUAUUAACUUUUUGGAUUAUACCACGCGUGUAUAAAUAUGAAUUAGAAGAAGUCAUAUAAUAACGUUAGUAUAACGUAUAUUAAUAAUUUAACUUAUGAUAAAGGAUACGCAAUUUUUUGAUGCAACAUAAAAUAUAAAAAAUGAAUUUUACGCAACAUGAUAUUGUGAAAUUGUUACUAACAGUAUAAUAAUAAUAAUAAUAAUAAUAAACAGUAUAAUAAUUUUAGUCCUAUAUUUGUUAGUUUAGGAUUUUAUAAAACUAAUCUUCGAAAAUUUCUGAGAAAUUUUAUCUUUAUAAAUAAAGUUUCUAAUUUUAAUUAAAGAAAUUAUAGUAAAUUUUAAAUUAAAUUACGAUUAAUACGCCUAUUAAUUUCUAGCUAUCUGUACUUAGAAAUGUCUUUCAUUUUAGUUCUCAUGCACGAAUUGUUAGGUAUCUGCAGGUUCUUAUUAAUAGAUACACAUAGAGUCGACCGUAGCAGUUUAAUUUUGAACGAACUCUUACAGUUUACGAAGUACUACAAUAAAGAAAGUAAUUAAAUAAGCUUAAUAAAAUUAAUACUAUCCAUUUACUACUUAUUUUUUCAAAUACAUAUGUUUUAUUGAUUUUUGCGUGACAGUAUUAAUACAAAAUAUUUUGAUCAGAUAAUAAAUAAAUAAACGGAUCCGAAAAUUUACGAUUACCUUAAUAUUCUAAAUUCAAAUUACUUCUCAUGUUAAAUCACUGAGACGACUAAAAUAUUGAUUUUAUCAAUAUCAAACUUAUUUCUCUCAUAUAUGUGGUGCACGACGUGAUAAUCGUCCCGCUGAGAUGCAUCAUUGUAUGAGUAUUGAACUCCUGUUAAGAUAUCAAACGUUUGAUUAAGUUAAAAAUAAAAUUAAUCGUCAACAUAACUUGAUGCAAUUUCCGUAAUAAAUGUUUUUGGCGUCGGUAGUAAGUAAGAAGCUUACAUCUUGUUCUCUGAUCGUUAUAUAAGUCACAAUUUACAUCAACUUGUAUCCAAUUGAUACAAAAAGUAAGAAUACGUGAUAUGUAUAGAACAUUUGUAAAGAAUCUACUCAACUUAAUAGGUCAUUUAGCAAAAUGUGUUCUUAGUUUUCAAUAAUGAAUUUUCAAAAAUUUUAUCGGGAAUUGAAUGAGAAAAAAUUAAACAUGAUAAGACAAAAUCAUAAUAGCCUAAUAUGUAGGUACAUUACAGCACUACGAAGUUUAACAAUUAUGUUUAAUGACAAACAUAAAUAUAUAUGUGUAGGUACAUUCCGUAAGAGCUGACUUUAAUGGCGUAAUUUAAUAUCCUUAUCUGUUAGAUUCUUAUCUGUUAGUAUUGUUCAUUAGCCAUAAUUUAUAAUUUGUAUAUGUGAUAUAAAACAAAUGUUACUUAUCAUAUUUCUGCGGAAUUUAUGUGGAAUUUACGAUAUUGUAAUAUUAUGUAAUUCAAUCUAAAAAUAAUCUUUAUUCCAUCGAGAAUAAAUUUUAUACGUAAAAGCACAUAUUCUGUUAGAUAUAUAUAGCUGAAAGUAAGACAAACAUCAAGAAUAAUGAAAUUACGUUGGGGGCUUCAUUUCCGCUGAAAUUUUAUUUGGAAAUAUACACGUGAGUUUGCCAAAUUCGCAACUAGAUAGGAAUGUACAAGAAAUUGUUCUACGAAAGAUUUAUGAUUUUCUCGAAAAUAAAACCUCCAACGCAAUUCUGUUGUUCCUGGUUUUCGUCGUAUUUCGAGACAUAAAAUCUGUCAAUCUUCGCUUCUGCCACAAAUUUAGACGGUGUUUAUAUACAUACUUUUAGAAAUAGUUCUUCAAAAAUAGACUAACAAAACGUAAUUCUAAAAUAGCUUGCACAUUUAAUGAUCUUUAAUCGUAAACGUGAAAGAAACAAUCUAUCAGAUUUUUAAAAGAUACGAAAAAUUGAAUAAAACAACAUACGUAAUAUGAUACACCAGUCCAAACUUUCUUCUUAAAAUUACACAGUGAAUUAUCAUUCAUUAUUUAUUACCUAAUUAAUAAUAAUUAUUACCUAAUUAAUAAUUAACAUAAUUUGACCGAGCAAUUGACGCAACAUUUAAAUAUAAGAAAAACCAAGAAAGACACUUUUCACUCGGUUUAACGCCAAGAUUUUCCCACGUUUCUACUUCUACGAGAUCAGCUCUAUAUUCCUUGCCCUAAAAACGAGAAUCUCGAAUUUUCAACUGAAAUAACGAUAUACAAAAAAUGUUAUCGUAUCACGCAUCUUCCUAAUCACAAUUCAUUAUUCGAUAAUCGUAUCAUCGCUCAAAUACUGUUAUAUUAAUCAAAAUAAUCAGUCGCGAUAAUUCAAUGUGUAUCAGGCUAAGUAUCAAGGUUUAAGUAGAUAAAAAUUGAAAGGAAGAGAAUGAAAGAAAGG
Molecule: RNA transcript, 13835 nt
Organism: Bombus huntii
Lineage: Eukaryota; Metazoa; Arthropoda; Insecta; Hymenoptera; Apidae
Gene: nbs
Exons: 13
Source: RefSeq, a predicted model, not a curated record